AGGGUUUGAUCAUGGCUCAGGACGAACGCUGGCGGUGCGCCUUAUGCAUGCAAGUCGAGCGAAGCUUUUUGGUAGUUUACUACUAGAAAUGACUGAGCGGCGAACGGGUGAGUAACGCGUGAGCAAUCUACCUUAGUUACUGGGAUAGCCCGAGGAAACUCGGAUUAAUACCAGAUAUUCUUAUUUUUUCACAUGAAGUUUUAAGGAAAGGUCAGCCGAACUAAGAUGAGCUCGCGUUCUAUCAGCUAGUUGGUGGGGUAAAAGCCUACCAAGGCUACGACGGAUAGCUGGUCUGAGAGGACGAUCAGCCACACUGGGACUGAGACACGGCCCAGACUCCUACGGGAGGCUGCAGCAGGGAAUAUUGUGCAAUGAGCGAAAGCUUGACACAGCGACACCGCGUGUGGGAUGACGGUUCUAGGAUUGUAAACCACUUUCAGGAGGGAAGAAAAUGACGGUACCUCCACAAGAAGACCCGGCCAACUAUGUGCCAGCCGCCGCGGUAAUUC
Molecule: ribosomal RNA, 509 nt
Filed under: uncultured bacterium
Lineage: Bacteria
Description: bacterial SSU rRNA
Rfam family: Bacterial small subunit ribosomal RNA
Source: RNAcentral